CCCUGACAAGCUCAGAGUGAAGCCCCUGGGAGGGAAAAGAUAAGAGGGAAUGAGAAAAGAUCAGGGUGGGGACCACCAGACCAGAUGUUUUAACCCCAGGGUAAAUGAUGUCACUGAGAGAUCCAGCGGCUGCUGACAGGAUUAAAAGGGGGGUCAAAAGCCCCAAAAUUUGUUAUAAAUAAUAGAGCAAAUGAACAGACAUUCAGCCUGGUGACACUGAUACACACGAGCCUGAGAGCCUGGUGAGGACUUGGACUGACAUCCCUACUCUUCUCAUCUGCCUGAAUCUCUGUGUAGUUCUCAUCGCUCUCAAACUCUACAGCCACAUCUUGACCCUGGGAGCGCACCUCCUGGAGGGUAAGGGAGACCUAGUCUUGAGCACCAGCAAGGCCUAUUUCAAAUAUAAGAGACCCUGAGGCUCACCUGUGGGAACACCUCCACCAGCUCCUUUGUCCAACAGGCGAAAAACCAGAAGUAGAUCCUGUUAGGUCGAUGGAGGUGACUGAGGAACCAAGCACCACCAAGCAACCUGCGCUCAAAAGAACACCAGACACCCGACGGAGCCACCUGUCAAUCAGCAGGGUCAUCUGACCAAUCCUGGAUCUUAGCCAACUCUGCCAACAAACCCCAUUUGGAUAAGGGACUCUAAAGACCCCUUUUCCUGUCCCAAGCCCUCUCUUCCUGCCCUAAGCCCAGUAAAAAUUUCAGUCCAGUGGAGCCCCCCACCCUUCUCCUUAGACCCGCUCUGCUGGUCUGAGCGUCCCACCCUGGAGCAAAAUCUCAACAAAGCCUCCCUCAGCCGCCUUUUUAAAUCUGCCGCCUUUUGGUCGCAGCUGUCUGGCCUUACAUCUUGUGCCGAAACCCGGGAGGGAUUUUUGGGCGUCUUCCAUACCUUACAACUGGGGAUUGAGGUCCAUCAUCCCCGCUUCAAAGGAACCAGGAAAUUCCUAGGCUGCUCCUUCCCUCUCCCUUCAUCAGGCUGGCAAGAGUGGGGUAAGUUCCCAUUUCCCCUGACCUUCCAGCCCCUUUCCAUCCACGGGGGUCUGCCCGUAAGUCACGCGUGUGCCAUAGACUCCCACCUGUUCCGUUCAAGGCCUGGGGACUGCGGAGACUCCCAGUUCUUGUGUGAGCCAUUCUGAU
Long non-coding RNA from Marmota monax (woodchuck), 1140 nucleotides. RefSeq lists it as uncharacterized. The transcript has 3 exons. NCBI's taxonomy places the organism in Eukaryota, Metazoa, Chordata, Mammalia, Rodentia, Sciuridae. The record is from RefSeq and is a predicted model, not a curated record.